AUGAACGCUGGCGGCGUGCCUAAUACAUGCCAGUCGAGCGAACAGACGAGGAGCUUGCUCCUCUGACGUUAGCGGCGGACGGGUGAGUAACACGUGGAUAACCUACCUAUAAGACUGGGAUAACUUCGGGAAACCGGAGCUAAUACCGGAUAAUAUAUUGAACCGCAUGGUUCAAUAGUGAAAGACGGUUUUGCUGUCACUUAUAGAUGGAUCCGCGCCGCAUUAGCUAGUUGGUAAGGUAACGGCUUACCAAGGCAACGAUGCGUAGCCGACCUGAGAGGGUGAUCGGCCACACUGGAACUGAGACACGGUCCAGACUCCUACGGGAGGCAGCAGUAGGGAAUCUUCCGCAAUGGGCGAAAGCCUGACGGAGCAACGCCGCGUGAGUGAUGAAGGUCUUCGGAUCGUAAAACUCUGUUAUUAGGGAAGAACAAAUGUGUAAGUAACUAUGCACGUCUUGACGGUACCUAAUCAGAAAGCCACGGCGAACUACGU
RNAcentral lists this ribosomal RNA (495 nucleotides) under uncultured bacterium. RNAcentral describes it as "partial 16S ribosomal RNA". It matches the Rfam family "Bacterial small subunit ribosomal RNA", at positions 29 to 506 of the family's 1533-position model. The record is from RNAcentral.